GUACCACUCACUGUUCUCAUCCCAUAGAUCCUUGUACUCGUCAAGAAAAUGGGUUGUGUAUUUGUCCUUCAAGGCGUCAAAGAAGGAAGUGUCGGGCUCAUUUGUUGCAAUAUAGAUGUUCCUCCCAUCUUCAAUCUUGUCACCCAAAGUUGAAAGCAGAGCAUCAGGAGAAGUAUCUGCUGCAAGAUUAGGCCAGAGCUCCUUGUUCUUUGCUUUAUCCCCUCUCUCAAUGU
This 233-nucleotide unclassified non-coding RNA is filed under the name Hevea brasiliensis (rubber tree). Lineage: Eukaryota; Viridiplantae; Streptophyta; Magnoliopsida; Malpighiales; Euphorbiaceae. The record is from RNAcentral.